RNAcentral lists this ribosomal RNA (1579 nucleotides) under Megasphaera sp. RNAcentral describes it as "partial 23S ribosomal RNA". It matches the Rfam family "Bacterial large subunit ribosomal RNA", at positions 1324 to 2786 of the family's 2925-position model. Lineage: Bacteria; Bacillati; Bacillota; Negativicutes; Veillonellales; Veillonellaceae. The record is from RNAcentral.
AGAAACUCAUCCGCCGGAUGAUCAAGGGUUCCAGGGUCAAGUUAAUCUGCCCUGGGUUAGUCGGGGCCUAAGGCGAGGCCGACAGGCGUAGUCGAUGGAUAACGGGUUGAUAUUCCCGUACCGGUGAAAAACCGCCCAUACUGAUAUUGUGAUGCUAACCAUGCGAAGCAUGAUGUGCAGGCUUUUGUUUGUGUGUUGUGUGGGUUGUGGGACCCGAUCUUUGGAGGUAAACGUGUUAACAGGUGUGACGCAGGAAGGUAGCCAAGCCACGCGAUGGUUGUCGUGGUCUAAGCGUGUAGGGUUGUCGGUUGUUAAAUGCGCCGGCUGUGUGCCUGAGACGUGAUGGGACCCCGUUUUUGGGGGAUUUGGUGAUCCUAUGCUGCCGAGAAAAGCAUCGGCGUGAGGUUUUAGCCGCCCGUACCCUAAACCGACACAGGUGAUCAGGUAGAGAAUACUAAGGCGAUCGAGAGAAUCAUGGUUAAGGAACUCGGCAAAAUGCCCCCGUAACUUCGGGAGAAGGGGGACCUUGAGCGUGAUGGGCACUUGCUGCCUGGAGCGUGUAUGGGUCGCAGAGACCAGGGGGAAGCGACUGUUUAUCAAAAACACAGGUCCGUGCGAAGUCGUAAGACGAUGUAUACGGACUGACUCCUGCCCGGUGCUGGAAGGUUAAGAGGAUUGGUUAGCUCUUUUGGGCGAAGCUGAGAAUUUAAGCCCCAGUAAACGGCGGUGGUAACUAUAACCAUCCUAAGGUAGCGAAAUUCCUUGUCGGGUAAGUUCCGACCUGCACGAAUGGAGUAACGACUUCCCUACUGUCUCAACCAUGAACUCGGCGAAAUUGCAGUACGAGUAAAGAUGCUCGUUUCGCGCAGCAGGACGGAAAGACCCCGUGACCUUUACUAUAGUUUGGUAUUGGUGUUUGGUUUGGCUUGUGUAGGAUAGGUGGGAGACUGUGAAGCAUGGACGCUAGUUUGUGUGGAGUCGUUGUUGAAAUACCACUCUGGUCAAUCUGGAUGUCUAACUUCGGGCCAUGAUCUGGUUCAGGGACAGUGCCUGAUGGGUAGUUUAACUGGGGCGGUUGCCUCCUAAAGUGUAACGGAGGCGCCCAAAGGUUCCCUCAGCCUGGUUGGCAAUCAGGUGUUGAGUGUAAGUGCACAAGGGAGCUUGACUGUGAGACUGGCAGGUCGAGCAGGGACGAAAGUCGGGACUAGUGAUCCGGCGGUACGUUGUGGAACGGCCGUCGCUCAACGGAUAAAAGGUACCUCGGGGAUAACAGGCUGAUCUUGCCCAAGAGUCCAUAUCGACGGCAUGGUUUGGCACCUCGAUGUCGGCUCGUCGCAUCCUGGGGCUGGAGUCGGUCCCAAGGGUUGGGCUGUUCGCCCAUUAAAGCGGUACGCGAGCUGGGUUCAGAACGUCGUGAGACAGUUCGGUCCCUAUCCGCUGCGCGCGUUGGAAAUUUGAGAAAGGCUGUCCUUAGUACGAGAGGACCGGGACGGACGAACCUCUGGUAUGUCAGUUGUACCGCCAGGUGCAUGGCUGAUUGGCUACGUUCGGGAGGGAUAACCGCUGAAAGCAUCUAAGC